This 346-nucleotide ribosomal RNA is filed under the name uncultured bacterium. RNAcentral describes it as "bacterial SSU rRNA". It matches the Rfam family "Bacterial small subunit ribosomal RNA", at positions 9 to 350 of the family's 1533-position model. The record is from RNAcentral.
GAGUUUGAUCAUGGCUCAAGAUGAACGCUAGCUACAGGCUUAACACAUGCAAGUCGAGGGGCAGCAUGUUGGUUGCUUGCAACCAAUGAUGGCGACCGGCGCACGGGUGAGUAACGCGUAUCCAACCUACCCUUGUCCAUCGGAUAACCCGUCGAAAGGCGGCCUAACACGAUAUGCGGUUCACAGCAGGCAUCUAAGGUGAACGAAAUGUGAAGGAGAAGGAUGGGGAUGCGUCUGAUUAGCUUGUUGGCGGGGUAACGGCCACAAGGCGACGAUCAGUAGGGGUUCUGAGAGGAAGGUCCCCCANAUUGGAACUGAGACACGGUCCAAACUCAUACGGGAGGCA